CUACCCACCACCCCCAAAAUCCCUCCUCCCACCAACUACCUUCCACCCUUACAGUCCCUCCUCCCACCAAACUGGCCAUCACCCCACAGUACCUCCUCCGCCCACCCCAAUCACUACUCCAACCAACUGUCCCUCACCCCACAAUCCCUCCUUGCAUUAACUGCUCCCUACCCACAACCCUUCCUCCCACCAAACUACCCCACCCCCACCCCACCCCAAUCACUCCUCCAACCAACUACGUCUCCCACCCCAACCACUCCUCCCACCAACUGUCCCUCACUGCACAAUCCCUCCUUGCAAUAACUGCUCCCUACCCACAACCCUUCCUCCCACCAAACCACCCCACCCCAUCCUCCCAUGCACCUAUAUACUAACCGCUCCCACCACACAAUCCCUCCCAACAGUCCACCAUCACCCACAACCCCUCUUCCCAACAAAUACUUUAAUUUUCUCAUGUCUUAUUUCCUUGCAGAAGACAUCUGAAAACGGAGAACAUUCCGUGCAAAUGAGUGAGAGAUACGAAAGAUUCUCUGCUUCGGAACCCCAAGAAGAAAAUACACAGCAGAUGUGGGAAGGCGAAAGUGGAGACAAAAUGCCAUUGCACCCAGCUUAAGAAACAGACGUUUUUUCUCGAUCAAGUACAUAGCACAAACGGAAUCCUGAGAAGGAAUUCACGCACAUCCGUAGGGUAGGAAAACCAAACUUUUCAAGUUACAUAGGAAGAAACAUGUGAUUGAUAGUAAAACUACUUUAGACACUUGAUGAUUCUAUUUGUAAAUGAUUUGACAGAUUAAACAAUCUCGUAUUAAAUAUCGUUACAAAUGUUCAGGUUUUAAAAUUGACAAUCAAGGAUGCUUUAUCCACUCUUACCGUUAUUUCCACUUUCAGUGAAGUGAAGAAUGUUAAGGAAGAUGUCGAGGUAUUAAACCAACCUAUACGAAGCUAUACCGACUAUAUUAGCCCUAUUGUUAUACCGUGUCAGAUGUUGGGAUCCGAGAUAAACGAGCUAACUGGGUCAUGCAGAAGGUCUUGUGCGCGCUAGCAUAUACAUUUUUCCCACUACUGUCU
Paramuricea clavata is the source of this 1068-nucleotide non-coding RNA. The record is from the annotation of a GenBank genome assembly. Lineage: Eukaryota; Metazoa; Cnidaria; Anthozoa; Malacalcyonacea; Plexauridae.